RNAcentral lists this ribosomal RNA (239 nucleotides) under Bacillus sp. ISL-7. RNAcentral describes it as "partial 16S ribosomal RNA". It matches the Rfam family "Bacterial small subunit ribosomal RNA", at positions 1 to 230 of the family's 1533-position model. Lineage: Bacteria; Bacillati; Bacillota; Bacilli; Caryophanales; Bacillaceae. The record is from RNAcentral.
UUCUUGGAGAGUUUGAUCCUGGCUCAGGACGAACGCUGGCGGCGUGCCUAAUACAUGCAAGUCGAGCGAAUCAAUAGGAGCUUGCUCCUGUUGGUUAGCGGCGGACGGGUGAGUAACACGUGGGCAACCUGCCUGUAAGACUGGGAUAACACCGGGAAACCGGUGCUAAUACCGGAUAAUCCUUUUCCUCUCAUGAGGAAAAGCUGAAAGUCGGUUUCGGCUGACACUUACAGAUGGGC